Myripristis murdjan (pinecone soldierfish) is the source of this 216-nucleotide small nucleolar RNA. Ensembl annotates it as small nucleolar RNA U3. The record is from Ensembl. NCBI's taxonomy places the organism in Eukaryota, Metazoa, Chordata, Actinopteri, Holocentriformes, Holocentridae.
AAGACUAUACUUUCAGGGAUCAUUUCUAUAGUUUCUGACUGGAGAAAUGUUUGCUAAAGUGGUCGGUCUUGCUAACCAUGAUGAUGAGUCAUGAUAUUCCCUUCUGAGUGUGAAGUGGACAGUGAGGAAUGAUUUAUUAUGUUUGCUCACUGUCAUUGAUGACUGUUCUUUGCUUCUUUAUGGAGCAUUGAGGAAGGGAGUAUGAUCAGAGUGGUU